RNAcentral lists this ribosomal RNA (497 nucleotides) under uncultured bacterium. Its description in RNAcentral is "bacterial SSU rRNA". It matches the Rfam family "Bacterial small subunit ribosomal RNA", at positions 8 to 507 of the family's 1533-position model. The record is from RNAcentral.
AGAGUUUGAUCAUGGCUCAGGAUGAACGCUAGCGGGAGGCCUAACACAUGCAAGCCGAGCGGUAUUGUUUCUUCGGAAUGAGAGAGCGGCGUACGGGUGCGGAACACGUGUGCAACCUGCCUUUAUCUGGGGGAUAGCCUUUCGAAAGGAAGAUUAAUACUCCAUAAUAUAUUGAACGGCAUCGUUUAAUAUUGAAAGCUCCGGCGGAUGGAGAUGGGCACGCGCAAGAUUAGCUAGUUGGUGAGGUAACGGCUCACCAAGGCAAUGAUCUUUAGGGGCCUGAGAGGGUGAUCCCCCACACUGGUACUGAGACACGGACCAGACUCCUACGGGAGGCAGCAGUGAGGAAUAUUGGUCAAUGGGUGCAAGCCUGAACCAGCCAUCCCGCGUGAAGGACGACUGCCCUAUGGGUUGUAAACUUCUUUUGUAUAGGGAUAAACCUUUCCACGUGUGGAAAGCUGAAGGUACUAUACGAAUAAGCACCGGCUAACUCCGUG